Molecule: ribosomal RNA, 1499 nt
Filed under: Lactobacillus crispatus
Lineage: Bacteria; Bacillati; Bacillota; Bacilli; Lactobacillales; Lactobacillaceae
Description: bacterial SSU rRNA
Rfam family: Bacterial small subunit ribosomal RNA
Source: RNAcentral
AACUAACAGAUUUACUUCGGUAAUGACGUUAGGAAAGCGAGCGGCGGAUGGGUGAGUAACACGUGGGGAACCUGCCCCAUAGUCUGGGAUACCACUUGGAAACAGGUGCUAAUACCGGAUAAGAAAGCAGAUCGCAUGAUCAGCUUUUAAAAGGCGGCGUAAGCUGUCGCUAUGGGAUGGCCCCGCGGUGCAUUAGCUAGUUGGUAAGGUAAAGGCUUACCAAGGCGAUGAUGCAUAGCCGAGUUGAGAGACUGAUCGGCCACAUUGGGACUGAGACACGGCCCAAACUCCUACGGGAGGCAGCAGUAGGGAAUCUUCCACAAUGGACGCAAGUCUGAUGGAGCAACGCCGCGUGAGUGAAGAAGGUUUUCGGAUCGUAAAGCUCUGUUGUUGGUGAAGAAGGAUAGAGGUAGUAACUGGCCUUUAUUUGACGGUAAUCAACCAGAAAGUCACGGCUAACUACGUGCCAGCAGCCGCGGUAAUACGUAGGUGGCAAGCGUUGUCCGGAUUUAUUGGGCGUAAAGCGAGCGCAGGCGGAAGAAUAAGUCUGAUGUGAAAGCCCUCGGCUUAACCGAGGAACUGCAUCGGAAACUGUUUUUCUUGAGUGCAGAAGAGGAGAGUGGAACUCCAUGUGUAGCGGUGGAAUGCGUAGAUAUAUGGAAGAACACCAGUGGCGAAGGCGGCUCUCUGGUCUGCAACUGACGCUGAGGCUCGAAAGCAUGGGUAGCGAACAGGAUUAGAUACCCUGGUAGUCCAUGCCGUAAACGAUGAGUGCUAAGUGUUGGGAGGUUUCCGCCUCUCAGUGCUGCAGCUAACGCAUUAAGCACUCCGCCUGGGGAGUACGACCGCAAGGUUGAAACUCAAAGGAAUUGACGGGGGCCCGCACAAGCGGUGGAGCAUGUGGUUUAAUUCGAAGCAACGCGAAGAACCUUACCAGGUCUUGACAUCUAGUGCCAUUUGUAGAGAUACAAAGUUCCCUUCGGGGACGCUAAGACAGGUGGUGCAUGGCUGUCGUCAGCUCGUGUCGUGAGAUGUUGGGUUAAGUCCCGCAACGAGCGCAACCCUUGUUAUUAGUUGCCAGCAUUAAGUUGGGCACUCUAAUGAGACUGCCGGUGACAAACCGGAGGAAGGUGGGGAUGACGUCAAGUCAUCAUGCCCCUUAUGACCUGGGCUACACACGUGCUACAAUGGGCAGUACAACGAGAAGCGAGCCUGCGAAGGCAAGCGAAUCUCUGAAAGCUGUUCUCAGUUCGGACUGCAGUCUGCAACUCGACUGCACGAAGCUGGAAUCGCUAGUAAUCGCGGAUCAGCACGCCGCGGUGAAUACGUUCCCGGGCCUUGUACACACCGCCCGUCACACCAUGGGAGUCUGCAAUGCCCAAAGCCGGUGGCCUAACCUUCGGGAAGGAGCCGUCUAAGGCAGGGCAGAUGACUGGGGUGAAGUCGUAACAAGGUAGCCGUAGGAGAACCUGCGGCUGGAUCACCUCCUUUCUAAGGAA